This 429-nucleotide ribosomal RNA is filed under the name Pseudomonadota bacterium. RNAcentral describes it as "Proteobacteria bacterium partial 16S ribosomal RNA". It matches the Rfam family "Bacterial small subunit ribosomal RNA", at positions 355 to 776 of the family's 1533-position model. Lineage: Bacteria; Pseudomonadati; Pseudomonadota. The record is from RNAcentral.
UGGGGAAUAUUGGACAAUGUGCGAAAGCCUGAUCCAGCCAUGCCGCGUGUGUGAAGAAGGUCUUCGGAUUGUAAAGCACUUUAAGUUGGGAGGAAGGGCAGUAAGCGAAUACCUUGCUGUUUUGACGUUACCGACAGAAUAAGCACCGGUUAACUCUGUGCCAGCAGCCGCGGUAAUACAGAGGGUGCAAGCGUUAAUCGGAAUUACUGGGCGUAAAGCGCGCGUAGGUGGUUCGUUAAGUUGAAUGUGAAAGCCCCGGGCUCAACCUUGGAACUGCAUCCAAAACAGGCGAGCUAGAGUAGCGCAGAGGGUGGUGGAAUUUCCUGUGUAGCGGUGAAAUGCGUAGAUAUAGGAAGGAACACCAGUGGCGAAGGCAACCACCUGGGCUCAUACUGACACUGAGGUGCGAAAGCGUGGGGAGCAAACAGG